GACGAACGCUGGCGGCGUGCUUAACACAUGCAAGUCGAACGGAAAGGCCCUGCUUUUGUGGGGUGCUCGAGUGGCGAACGGGUGAGUAACACGUGAGUAACCUGCCCUUGACUUUGGGAUAACUUCAGGAAACUGGGGCUAAUACCGGCUAGGAGCUCCUGCUGCAUGGGGGGGGUUGGAAAGUUUCGGCGGUUGGGGAUGGACUCGCGGCUUAUCAGCUUGUUGGUGGGGUAGUGGCUUACCAAGGCUUUGGCGGGUAGCCGGCCUGAGUGGGUGACCGGCCACAUUGGGACUGAGAUACGGCCCAGACUCCUACGGGAGGCAGCAGUGGGGAAUAUUGCACAAUGGGCGGAAGCCUGAUGCAGCAACGCCGCGUGCGGGAUGACGGCCUUCGGGUUGUAAACCGCUUUCGCCUGUGACGAAGCGUGAGUGACGGUAAUGGGUAAAGAAGCACCGGCUAACUACGUG
RNAcentral lists this ribosomal RNA (468 nucleotides) under uncultured bacterium. Its description in RNAcentral is "partial 16S ribosomal RNA". It matches the Rfam family "Bacterial small subunit ribosomal RNA", at positions 28 to 507 of the family's 1533-position model. The record is from RNAcentral.